AAUCAACGCUGGCGGCGUGCCUCAGACAUGCAAGUCGAACGCGAAAGUCCCCUUCGGGGGACGAAGUAGAGUGGCGCACGGGUGAGUAACACGUAGGUAAUCUACCUUUGGAUGGGGAAUAACAACCGGAAACGGUUGCUAAUACCGCAUAAUGCAGCGGCACCUAAUGGUGACAGUUGUUAAAGCGGGGGAUCGAAAGACCUCGCGUCUGAAGAGGAGCCUGCGGCGGAUUAGCUAGUGGUAAGGUAAUGGCUUACCAAGGCUACGAUCCGUAACCGGCCUGAGAGGGGCGGGUCGGUCGCACUGACACUGACAUACGGGUCAGACUCCUACGGGAGGCAGCAGUCGGGAAUUUUGGGCAAUGGGCGAAAGCCUGACCCAGCAACGCCGCGUGAAGG
RNAcentral lists this ribosomal RNA (398 nucleotides) under uncultured bacterium. Its description in RNAcentral is "bacterial SSU rRNA". It matches the Rfam family "Bacterial small subunit ribosomal RNA", at positions 32 to 407 of the family's 1533-position model. The record is from RNAcentral.